Molecule: ribosomal RNA, 491 nt
Filed under: Opisthosyllis viridis
Lineage: Eukaryota; Metazoa; Annelida; Polychaeta; Phyllodocida; Syllidae
Description: partial 16S ribosomal RNA
Rfam family: Bacterial large subunit ribosomal RNA
Source: RNAcentral
AAAACAUUGCCUUCAGAAAAACUAUUGAAGGUAAAUCUGCCCAGUGAAGUUUUUCAACGGCCGCGGUAUUCCUGACCGUGCUAAGGUAGCACAAUAAUGUGCCUCUUAAUUAGAGGAUAGAAUGAAUGAAUUAACAAGAAGAAAGCUGUCUCUUUUUUGAAAAGUGAAAUUUAAUUUCAGGUGAAAAUUCCUGAAUCCUAAAUAUAGACAGAAAGACCCUAUAAGCUUAUAUUUUUAGGCGUAUUUAGCACAAUAAAUAUUUGAUUGGGGCGAUCAUAAGUAGUAAACACUUACCAAUUAUAAGGGCUAUAGCCCAAACUAAUUAUCCAAUAACACAUAAGUAAGUUACUAUAGGGAUAACAGGCUAAUACUUCCCGUGAGCACAAAUCAACGGAAGUGCUUAGCACCUCGAUGUUGGCUUAGGAUAACUAUUUUAUGCAGAAGUAAAAAAAGAGGGUUUGUUCAACCUUUAAUCUCCUACAUGAUCUGAG